UACGAAGGGGGCUAGCGUUGUUCGGAAUCACUGGGCGUAAAGCGCACGUAGGCGGACUUUUAAGUCAGGGGUGAAAUCCCGGGGCUCAACCCCGGAACUGCCUUUGAUACUGGAAGUCUUGAGUCCGAGAGAGGUGAGUGGAACGUCCAAGUUGUAGGGGUGAAAUUCGAGAUAUUCGGAGAACACCAGGUGGCGAAGGCGGCUCACUGGCUCGGUACUGACGCUGAGGUGCGAAAGCGUGGGGAGCAAACAGGAUUAGAUACC
This 264-nucleotide ribosomal RNA is filed under the name uncultured bacterium. RNAcentral's name for it is "partial 16S ribosomal RNA". It matches the Rfam family "Bacterial small subunit ribosomal RNA", at positions 524 to 786 of the family's 1533-position model. The record is from RNAcentral.